This is a long non-coding RNA of Hyalella azteca, 531 nucleotides long. RefSeq lists it as uncharacterized. The transcript is spliced from 4 exons. The record is from RefSeq and is a predicted model, not a curated record. Lineage: Eukaryota; Metazoa; Arthropoda; Malacostraca; Amphipoda; Hyalellidae.
GCUCUGAGGGCCUCAACGUCACCGCUGCAACAUCUUCGCUCAAUGUGACCAGUGGACCAGUACAAACCAGCAGCCUGCACCCUCUCUACAACAUCUCCUACACGCUGUAUUCCCCCGUGGGGCUUCUUCUCUGCCUCCUCGUCGGCGUGGUUGUCACCUACGCCGUCGGCUGUCGGACCACGGAAAAAGUCGACCCUCAGCACAUUCUGCACUGCCUCAGGCCCAGAGCUGAACGCAGAAGCGAGACACUUCGUCUCAAGAAAUCGGUUUAGCCUGCAAGGAUGAGGCACAUCCCAGGACACACAGGCCCCAUCACACACCAGACUUCAUGAAUAUUUGUGUCUCAGUAGGAAGGCAGGAGAGUUAGUCGUAUUGUGCGUGAUAUGCUGAGGGUAUACGAUAUAUUGAUCCAUUAUAACCCUCUUGUCUGUCAACAAAUUUCUAACGAGAUGCGCGCCCAUCUUAAUGUCAGUCAUUAGUGUCAUAUAUCAGCCGACCAUCUAAAUUUUGUAAAUGAAUUUAUAAUAUCCA